RNAcentral lists this long non-coding RNA (264 nucleotides) under Setaria italica (foxtail millet). RNAcentral describes it as "long non-coding RNA (SITA_LNC004301)". Lineage: Eukaryota; Viridiplantae; Streptophyta; Magnoliopsida; Poales; Poaceae. The record is from RNAcentral.
GGAGGAGGAGGAGGAGAAGAAGAAGAGCAUGGGAUCUUGAGAGUUUCGAUCGGUAGGAGUACUUCUAGCUAUAACUAUAUGCUGUAGAGGUUAACGAGUCUUGUCGUCCGUCUCGUCGGUGGCGAUCGAUCGAGCCUGAGCUAGCGUGUUAGGGCCGGGUCGUCGCCACCCACUGUCAGGUCGAUCAAGUAGUGGCUAGAACCGGUGUAGCUGGCUGCACCUCUCGAUCGACGGGAGAGAAAGAAGUUUUCAAGUCUUUCUACG